UGGGGAAUUUUGGACAAUGGGCGCAAGCCUGAUCCAGCAAUGCCGCGUGCAGGAUGAAGGCCUUCGGGUUGUAAACUGCUUUUGUACGGAACGAAACGGCUCUGUCUAAUACAUGGGGCUAAUGACGGUACCGUAAGAAUAAGCACCGGCUAACUCUGUGCCAGCAGCCGCGGUAAUACAGAGGGUGCAAGCGUUAAUCGGAAUUACUGGGCGUAAAGCGCGCGUAGGUGGUUUGUUAAGUUGGAUGUGAAAUCCCCGGGCUCAACCUGGGAACUGCAUUUGUGACUGCAUGGCUAGAGUACGGUAGAGGGGGGUGGAAUUCCGCGUGUAGCAGUGAAAUGCGUAGAUAUGCGGAGGAACACCGAUGGCGAAGGCAAUCCCCUGGACCUGUACUGACGCUCAUGCACGAAAGCGUGGGGAGCAAACA
RNAcentral lists this ribosomal RNA (427 nucleotides) under uncultured bacterium. RNAcentral's name for it is "bacterial SSU rRNA". It matches the Rfam family "Bacterial small subunit ribosomal RNA", at positions 355 to 774 of the family's 1533-position model. The record is from RNAcentral.